Molecule: ribosomal RNA, 634 nt
Filed under: Escherichia coli
Lineage: Bacteria; Pseudomonadati; Pseudomonadota; Gammaproteobacteria; Enterobacterales; Enterobacteriaceae
Description: partial 23S ribosomal RNA
Rfam family: Bacterial large subunit ribosomal RNA
Source: RNAcentral
GUAACGGAGGAGCACGAAGGUUGGCUAAUCCUGGUCGGACAUCAGGAGGUUAGUGCAAUGGCAUAAGCCAGCUUGACUGCGAGCGUGACGGCGCGAGCAGGUGCGAAAGCAGGUCAUAGUGAUCCGGUGGUUCUGAAUGGAAGGGCCAUCGCUCAACGGAUAAAAGGUACUCCGGGGAUAACAGGCUGAUACCGCCCAAGAGUUCAUAUCGACGGCGGUGUUUGGCACCUCGAUGUCGGCUCAUCACAUCCUGGGGCUGAAGUAGGUCCCAAGGGUAUGGCUGUUCGCCAUUUAAAGUGGUACGCGAGCUGGGUUUAGAACGUCGUGAGACAGUUCGGUCCCUAUCUGCCGUGGGCGCUGGAGAAUUGAGGGGGGCUGCUCCUAGUACGAGAGGACCGGAGUGGACGCAUCACUGGUGUUCGGGUUGUCAUGCCAAUGGCACUGCCCGGUAGCUAAAUGCGGAAGAGAUAAGUGCUGAAAGCAUCUAAGCACGAAACUUGCCCCGAGAUGAGUUCUCCCUGACUCCUUGAGAGUCCUGAAGGAACGUUGAAGACGACGACGUUGAUAGGCCGGGUGUGUAAGCGCAGCGAUGCGUUGAGCUAACCGGUACUAAUGAACCGUGAGGCUUAACCUU